This 802-nucleotide ribosomal RNA is filed under the name uncultured bacterium. Its description in RNAcentral is "bacterial SSU rRNA". It matches the Rfam family "Bacterial small subunit ribosomal RNA", at positions 8 to 796 of the family's 1533-position model. The record is from RNAcentral.
AGAGUUUGAUCAUGGCUCAGGACGAACGCUGGCGGCGCGCUUAACACAUGCAAGUCGAACGAGAACCAGGGCUUCGGCCCUGGGGACAGUGGCGGACGGGUGAGUAACACGUGGGUAAUCUGCCCUUGACAUCGGGAUAGCCCGGGGAAACCCGGAUUAAUACCGGAUAGCCUCCGAAGCCUUCGGGCGUCGGAGAAAAGGUAGCUUCGGCCUCUGGUCAAGGAUGAGCCCGCGGCGGAUUAGCUUGUUGGCGGGGUAACGGCCCACCAAGGCGACGAUCCGUAGCUGGUCUGAGAGGACGAUCAGCCACACUGGGACUGAGACACGGCCCAGACUCCUACGGGAGGCAGCAGUGGGGAAUCUUGCGCUAAUGCGGGAAACCGUGACGCAGCGACGCCGCGUGGGGGAAGAAGGCCUUCGGGUUGUAAACCUCUUUCAGGAGGGACGAAGCUACUCGGGUUAAUAGCCCAGAGGGUGACGGUACCUCCAGAAGAAGCCCCGGCUAACUACGUGCCAGCAGCCGCGGUAAUACGUAGGGGGCAAGCGUUGUCCGGAUUUAUUGGGCGUAAAGAGCGUGUAGGCGGCCAGACAGGUCUGCUGUGAAAACUCGAGGCUCAACCUCGAGAUGUCGGCGGAAACCGUUUGGCUAGAGUCCGGAAGAGGAGAGUGGAAUUCCUGGUGUAGCGGUGAAAUGCGCAGAUAUCAGGAAGAACACCUAUGGCGAAGGCAGCUCUCUGGGACGGUACUGACGCUGAGACGCGAAAGCGUGGGGAGCGAACAGGAUUAGAUACCCUAGUAGUCC